UGCAGGCAGGGGAAGCGACAGGCAAGUUUCUCGCCUCUGCGGAGAAACUUGCACCUGCGUGCCGCCGCAGGGCCGGGUUCGGAUGUGCCCUGGCAUUGCACACGCACCACACCCCCCCGCGGGGAGGGUGUGCGCUGCCUCGGGGACCCUGUGUGUGCUGCCGGGAGAGAGAAAUCCUUUGGGAAGCUGGGCUGGAAACAGCAACUCUGUGAACUGCUCAGCUUUUCCUAGGUGACGAAGCUUAUGGAAAAAAAGACCAAAGGCCUCGAGGGAUGUUCUUCUUGACCCCCCGGGGCAAACGGAGGCGUUCACCCGGUCAGCGUCAGGAACCAUCCUAACUGAGGCCUCGGUGUCUUUUACUCCGUGUUCCCAGGCUCCCUCUUUCCCUUCGGUCGCCGUGGGUGUGCCGGACGCCUCUGGCAGGACUAACCGCGUGGCUUUUAUGUCCAACGUGCUGUGCUGCGUGUGCCUGCAGCAUCCUGUCCAAGACCAAGCUACCUUUCUUUCCUCGUGGGAAUGGACCGGCCGGGCUUUGGCAAUCUGGCCCCUCGAAAGACUAAAGUGACCUCUUCCAGCAGGGGAAGACUGAAGCAAGGGGUGCCAGGAAGAACUGGAGUCUCUGGAGAAUAAAAGCUGGAAGCGUGCCCCCGAAAAUCCCCAGCCCCGGGUGGUCAGUGGUCUGACUUGCACGGACCGGUGGCCUUGGCCAGGAGCGGUCCUGUGGGAAGCGCCUUUGCCCAGGCUGUAAUUUUGAUUUUCUCUUGGAUGCUUGGCAAAGCCCCUCUGGGGGAGCCCCGGUGCCUGGCAGGAGCGGAGCGGGCUUGCAGGGAGGCGUUCACCCGGUCAGCGUCAGGAACCAUCCUAACUGAGGCCUCGGCUCCCUCUUUCCCUUCGGUCGACGUGGACACUGUGCCGGACGCCUCUGGCAGGACUAACCGCGUGGCUUUUAUGUCCAACGUGCUGUGCUGCGUGUGCCUGCAGGACCUGGGUGAAAAGGACAUUCUCUGAGGUGCUGGGAGAAGGAGGACUCGUGCGGGCACCUCCAGAGACAGCGGGAACGGGAGCGUGCUGCGGAGAAGGAAAAUUCCAGGGGGUGGGUGCCGAGAAAUUUGUCCUUCCCUUGCCCUGUGCUCUGCACUUAGCAAUGGGUCAAGUGCAGAAGUUUCCUGGGGACCCUGGGAAAUGAGGCCGGGUCUGCUAAGAAAAGUGGGGCCAAAGGAGCAGGACCUGGGUCUGCGAGCGUGGGAGAAACAAGGGCCGGGUCAUCCUCUGCCUCCAGGAGGGAGGGCAGCAGGAAAGGCCACGGACUAAAGCACUGAAGUGCCGUUCCCCAGGGAGCCCCUGCCCAGCACUGAACUUGCUUGUGCACUUGCUGUCCCUUUCCCAGCGGAGCCGAAGCGUCGGGUGCGGGUGCCGGGGGGAUGGAGCUGCCAAGGACAAACUGGGAGGGUGUUUGCGAAGGAAGGGGGUAGAAGGAGCUCUUGACGUGCUUUUUUUACUUCUU
Long non-coding RNA from Pseudopipra pipra, 1504 nucleotides. RefSeq lists it as uncharacterized. NCBI's taxonomy places the organism in Eukaryota, Metazoa, Chordata, Aves, Passeriformes, Pipridae. The transcript has 8 exons. The record is from RefSeq and is a predicted model, not a curated record.